Molecule: ribosomal RNA, 2550 nt
Filed under: human gut metagenome
Description: bacterial LSU rRNA
Rfam family: Bacterial large subunit ribosomal RNA
Source: RNAcentral
GAAAGUAAAGAAGGGCGCAUGGCGGAUGCCUUGGCUCUCGGAGGCGAUGAAGGACGUGAUAAGCUGCGAUAAGCUUUGGGGAGGUGCAAAUGACCUUUGAUCCAGAGAUUUCCGAAUGGGACAACCCAAUAUCUUGAAGAGGUAUUAUCCAACGUUGUUGGAGGCUAACGCAGGGAACUGAAACAUCUUAGUACCUGCAGGAAAAGAAAAUAAACAAUGAUUCCCCCAGUAGUGGCGAGCGAACGGGGAACAGCCCAAACCAUCCAUGUUACGGCAUGGGUGGGGUUGUAGGACUACGCCGUUGCAUGAAGACAUCAGAGAAGAACUUUCUGGAAAGAAAGACCAUAGAGCAUGACAGUUGCGUAUUCGAAUGUUGUCGAAGCAUAGUAGUAUCCUGAGUAGCGCGGAGCACGAGGAAUUCUGCGUGAAUCUGCCGGGACCAUCCGGUAAGGCUAAAUACUCCCGAGAGACCGAUAGCGAACCAGUACCGUGAGGGAAAGGUGAAAAGCACUUCGAACAGAAGAGUGAAAUAGUUCCUGAAACCGUGCGCCUACAAGCGGUCGGAGCUCGUUAAUGAGUGACGGCGUGCCUUUUGCAUAAUGAACCUACGAGUUGCCUUUGCCGGCAAGGUUAAGUGUGACGACACACGUAUCCGAAGCGAAAGCGAGUCUGAAGAGGGCGUAUAGUCGGCAGUGGCAGACGCGAAACCAAGUGAUCUACCCUUGGCCAGGUUGAAGGCUGGGUAACACCAGCUGGAGGACCGCACCAAUAAGCGUUGAAAAGCUUCUGGAUGAGCUGAGGGUAGGGGUGAAAGGCUAAUCAAACUUGGAGAUAGCUCGUACUCCCCGAAAUGCAUUUAGGUGCAGCCUUGCGGGUUACUGAUGUGAGGUAGAGCGACUGAUAAGAUGCGAGGGCUUCACCGCCUAUCAAGUCUUGACAAACUCCGAAUGCGCAUCAGUUCUACCGCAGGAGUGAGGGCAUGGGUGCUAAGGUCCGUGCCCGAGAGGAGAAGAAUCCGGACCACCUGCUAAGGUCCCGAAAUGACAGCUAAGUUAAACUAACGAAGUCUGACUGCUAAGACAGCUAGGAUGUUGGCUUGGAAGCAGCCAUUCAUUUAAAGAGUGCGUAACAGCUCACUAGUCGAGGAGUCGGGCGUGGAUAAUAAUCGGGUAUCAAGUUGUCUACCGAAGCAGUGGGAUCAUUUAUAUGAUCGGUAGGGGAGCAUUCCAGUCAGCGUCGAAGGCGUACCGUGAGGUAUUCUGGAGCGUCUGGAAAAGCAAAUGUAGGUAUAAGUAACGAUAAAGGGGGCGGGAAACCCCCUCGCCGAAAGACUAAGGUUUCCUGAUCAACGCUAAUCGGAUCAGGGUCAGUCGGGUCCUAAGGCUCAGCCGAACGGCGAUGCCGAUGGCAGAAACGGUUAAUAUUCCGUUACUACCUUCAGGAGUGACGUGGAGACGCAGUAGUGACAGUGCCGCCAUCUGACGGAAUAGAUGGUUGAAGGGUGUAGGAGUCGAUCAUGGCAGGCAAAUCCACCAUGAGAUCCGAACCUGACAGUAUGCCGCGUCCUUCGGGACAAGGCAAUAGUGCGCGUAAGCAUGCUGCCGAGAAAAUCCGCUAAACUUAAUCCUGCAGGUACCCGUACCGCAAACGGACACACGUAGUCGGGAUGAAUAUUCUAAGGCGCUUGAGUGAUUCACGGUUAAGGAACUAGGCAAACUGACCCUGUAACUUCGGGAUAAAGGGUCCCUACCCUUUUAUGGGAGGGCGCAGAGAAUCGGUCCAGGCAACUGUUUAACAAAAACACAGGGCUGUGCCAAAUCGAAAGAUCCAGUAUACAGCCUGACACCUGCCCGGUGCUGGAAGGUUAAGAGGAGAUGUCAUCGAUAAGAGAAGCGUUGAAUUGAAGCCCCAGUAAACGGCGGCCGUAACUAUAACGGUCCUAAGGUAGCGAAAUUCCUUGUCGGGUAAGUUCCGACCUGCACGAAUGGUGUAAUGAUCUGGACGCUGUCUCAACCGUGAGCUCAGUGAAAUUGUAGUAUCGGUGAAGAUGCCGAUUACCCGCGAUGGGACGAAAAGACCCCGUGAACCUUUACUAUAGCUUAUCAUUGAAUCUGGGCACGUGAUGUGUAGGAUAGGUCGGAGGCUUUGAAGCAGGUACGCCAGUAUUUGUGGAGCCGCUGUUGAAAUACGACCCUUUAUUUGUUUGGAUUCUAACCCGUGGAUACGGGGACAUUGAUUGGUGGGUAGUUUGACUGGGGUGGUCGCCUCCAAAAGCGUAACGGAGGCUUCUAAAGGUGCCCUCCGGCCGAUUGGUAACCGGCCUUAGAGUGUAAUGGCAUAAGGGCGCUUGACUGGGAGACUGACAAGUCGAUCAGGUAGGAAACUAGGGCAUAGUGAUCCGGUGUUUCCGUAUGGAAGGGACAUCGCUCAAAGGAUAAAAGGUACUCCGGGGAUAACAGGCUGAUCCCUCCCAAGAGCUCAUAUCGACGGAGUGGUUUGGCACCUCGAUGUCGGCUCGUCACAUCCUGGGGCUGGAGAAGGUCCCAAGGG